Molecule: non-coding RNA, 108 nt
Organism: Mycena epipterygia
Lineage: Eukaryota; Fungi; Basidiomycota; Agaricomycetes; Agaricales; Mycenaceae
Source: the annotation of a GenBank genome assembly
ACACCAAUGGUGAAGCGGUUAUCAUGCUUGCCUUCCAUGCUUACGUAAUCAUUUCUGAUUGUGUAAUCUUGAGAGCAAGCGGCAGGGGUUCGACUCCCCUUUGGUGUA